This 165-nucleotide ribosomal RNA is filed under the name uncultured bacterium. RNAcentral's name for it is "partial 16S rRNA". It matches the Rfam family "Bacterial small subunit ribosomal RNA", at positions 355 to 511 of the family's 1533-position model. The record is from RNAcentral.
UAGGGAAUCUUCGGCAAUGGACGAAAGUCUGACCGAGCAACGCCGCGUGAGUGAUGAGGGUUUUCGGAUCGUAAAACUCUGUUGGUAGAGAAGAACGUUGGUGAGAGUGGAAAGCUCAUCAAGUGACGGUAACUACCCAGAAAGGGACGGCUAACUACGUGCCAC